Molecule: non-coding RNA, 125 nt
Organism: Triticum aestivum (bread wheat)
Lineage: Eukaryota; Viridiplantae; Streptophyta; Magnoliopsida; Poales; Poaceae
Source: Rfam
CUUGUACUCCCUCCGUCCGGAAAUACUUGUCGGAGGAAUAGAUGUAUCUAGACAUAAUUUAGUUUUAGAUACAUCCACUUUUAUGCAUUUCUCCGACAAGUAUUUCCGGACGGAGGGAGUAUAUU